UAUAGGCCCAUAAAGUCUCA
RNAcentral lists this non-coding RNA (20 nucleotides) under Arabidopsis thaliana (thale cress). The record is from RNAcentral. Lineage: Eukaryota; Viridiplantae; Streptophyta; Magnoliopsida; Brassicales; Brassicaceae.